UGCCAGCCGCCGCGGUAAUACGGAGGGUGCAAGCGUUGUUCGGAUUUACUGGGCGUAAAGAGCGCGUAGGCGGCUUCAUAAGUUAAGGGUGAAAUCCCGGGGCUUAACUCCGGAACUGCUCUUAAAACUGUGGAGCUAGAGACAAUCAGAGGUGGGUGGAAUUCCAGGUGUAGAGGUGAAAUUCGUAGAUAUCUGGAGGAACACCAGUGGCGAAGGCGCUGGCCUGGACGAUGACUGACGCUGAGGUGCGAAAGCAUGGGGAGCGAACAGGAUUAGAUA
RNAcentral lists this ribosomal RNA (279 nucleotides) under uncultured bacterium. Its description in RNAcentral is "partial 16S ribosomal RNA". It matches the Rfam family "Bacterial small subunit ribosomal RNA", at positions 506 to 784 of the family's 1533-position model. The record is from RNAcentral.